GUGCUCACUUCGGCAGUACAGACACUAAAACUGGAAUGACACAGAGAUUAGCAUGGCCUCUGCACAAGCAUGACAUACAAAUUUGUGAAACAUUCCAUAUUUUA
This is a small nuclear RNA of Chlorocebus sabaeus (green monkey), 104 nucleotides long. The record is from Ensembl. NCBI's taxonomy places the organism in Eukaryota, Metazoa, Chordata, Mammalia, Primates, Cercopithecidae.